AUGAAUGCGCAAAAAUCUACUAAAAACUAAAAUAUAUCAUUGAAGUUGACGUUAGACCAAUAGACCAUGUAAUUUAGCUAUGAUGUGUUCAAAGUAAUAAAUUCGCGGUAUUAUUAAAUCGUAGCAGACGAUUCUCGAGGUAAAAUGUCCCAACCUCCAUCCGAUGACAUAAACAGGCUACAGCCCAUAGUAAGUAUGUAAUACAGCCAUACUGGAGUCUGCAACUACGAACAUAUAUCUUAAUGGUAUAUCUUAAUUCGUGGUUGCGACUGCAACACAGCGUCGGCAAUAUACUGCGACAGCCACAGCGAUCUCAAAAAAUUAAAUUAUUAUUAAAUAUUGAUAUUGAUUGAACAAGUAUUUUUGAGGAUUAAUUUUUCUAUAACUUUUCUUGUCAAAUUUGUGGUUACACUGUAAAGAAUGAUAACACCACUUGUAUCAACAUCUGCAGCUAUCAAAUAUCUUUUGAUAAUCUUGAAAAAUAAUAAAAAGUAAAAACUGAGAUACGCCAUACGCAUCGUCCAUCAAAAUCAUAAAAUCCGUACCUAUCCCACGAAUGACAACAAUACUACGAUAUAUUUUGUAAGCAGUUGCGAACAAAAGUUUAUACUUUUUUUAAAUCGGAGAGAGUAUAUUUCCGUUGCGUAGAGCGCAGGCUGUGCAACUACCCAACAGGCAACAGUUUACAGUGGAGUAAGUGUUGCCGAGUUUGUUGUCACUCGUCACUUCGUCAAGUUCGUCAGUAACUAUUCAAAAUUUACCGACGGCUCUUGUUUAACUGUGUAAGAAUGAUUAGAUUAAAUCCUACAAGAAUAGAGCUCAGAAUUGAAGAUCUAAGCGAAUUUGCAGAUAUCAAAAAUCAUUAUGAAACUGUUAAAAAAAAUAAAGAAGAAAAACAAAAAAAUCUAUAUGGUCCUCUUUUAAACAGCAACUCGAAAACCAAACAAGAAGUUGUACAAGAAAGAAUAGGAUUUAUCCCAAGGCCUAGACAUUCAUCAUCAUGAAGGAUAUUACGUCUAAUUUUAUAUUUUAAGUAUUUUAAUUUAUUUAUUUCCAACAUUUUAAUAUAAAAUAUAUUAAAUGAUCAUAACGAUUAACUAUACUACACUAUUUACUUUUCUCAUUCCUUUUACUGUAACAUUAUUUUUUUACCGAUUAUAGAUGCUUAAUUCAUCUAA
Long non-coding RNA from Aphis gossypii (cotton aphid), 1178 nucleotides. RefSeq lists it as uncharacterized. Lineage: Eukaryota; Metazoa; Arthropoda; Insecta; Hemiptera; Aphididae. The transcript has 2 exons. The record is from RefSeq and is a predicted model, not a curated record.